RNAcentral lists this unclassified non-coding RNA (22 nucleotides) under Dictyostelium discoideum. The record is from RNAcentral. Lineage: Eukaryota; Evosea; Eumycetozoa; Dictyosteliales; Dictyosteliaceae.
AAAUUGUUUUAGUUUUUAGUGU